UACCAGCACCCCGAGUGGUCGGGACGAUUAUUGGGCCUAAAGCAUCCGUAGCCGGUCCUACAAGUCUUCCGUUAAAUCCACCUGCUUAACAGAUGGGCUGCGGAAGAUACUAUAGGGCUAGGAGGCGGGAGAGGCAAGCGGUACUCAGUGGGUAGGGGUAAAAUCCUCUGAUCCAUUGAAGACCACCGGUGGCGAAGGCGGCUUCCUGGACCGACACUGACGCUGAGGCGCGAAAGCGUGGGGAGCAAACAGG
This 253-nucleotide ribosomal RNA is filed under the name uncultured bacterium. RNAcentral describes it as "partial 16S ribosomal RNA". It matches the Rfam family "Archaeal small subunit ribosomal RNA", at positions 474 to 727 of the family's 1478-position model. The record is from RNAcentral.